Long non-coding RNA from Diabrotica virgifera virgifera (western corn rootworm), 4686 nucleotides. RefSeq lists it as uncharacterized. Lineage: Eukaryota; Metazoa; Arthropoda; Insecta; Coleoptera; Chrysomelidae. The record is from RefSeq and is a predicted model, not a curated record. The transcript has 2 exons.
UUCUUCUAUUUGGUUUACCCAUUUCCCCCUUUAAAAAUUGGUUGGCGCUCUUUUAUUAUCCUCUUUGAUUAUCAUUUUAUUAUCCUUUUUUAUUAUCUUCUAUUUAAUAUAUCUCUUUCAUUUAAAUCAUCAUACUGAACAUACCUCGUAUAUUCAUACUCUCCAAAUAUCUGUAUUUUCAAUACGGAACAUGCCGCUACUUCAUAGUACUUGGUUGUCAUUUUAAACGUCGUUUUCAAUGACAGUGUCACUUCAUCGACUUGACCCCCUACUCCCUGACAUACACUGGAAGGGAAAAAUUAAUCCUUAAAAAGGCAUGUAAUUCGAAAAAUAAAUCAUUUCUAUUUCAACAAAUCAUCUUCCUCUUGGGGUGAGCUACAAAUAGUUUUUUAUAAUAAUUUCUUACAGUAAUUAUAUUUCUCCAUCUAACAGUUUUUAUAUUGUUUUUUUAUCUAACCUAACUUCCAAUGUCAGACCAUGUGUUCUGAUAUUUUAGUUUCAAAUAUAAUUAUCUUUUAAUUUACAUGUAUGCACGUUUAGUAAUCAGGAUUUUAACUAUUCUCAUCUAAAUUUCAUUUGAUUUAUUCUUGUCAUCUGCUACUCUUUCUGACGAUUAGAACGGCAGAUGGCACACGUUGGUUUUUCUUCUUGAUGAUUGAUAUGUGUCUCUAUUUUAUAGUUUUUUGGAAAGAAACCACUUUUCUUCCUCCGGGAGUUUCAACAACCCUCAAAUCGCCGGCGAUACAACAACGAGGACCAUGUCAUCAGGGCUGCAACCACAUAACCAAGACUGCAACGACCAACAUCCGUAGGCCUGGUGGAAUACAACACCUACAACCCCAGAGCCCGUUGCAGAACCAGCAGCAGUACCAUACGACAUCAAGAAGAUACCAUCAGCUACCAAAAGCCAUAAGUAUAAUCCAGAAUUGUUAGUUUUUGGCAAGAAUUUAAAUACAUUUGUUAAUGCAAUUUACUGAGUCAUUUUAUUUAUUAUAUCUUUAUGAACAAUAAACAUGAUUAGUUAAAAACUAUGUUUUGUUUGCUUCCAUUCCAAUUCUCAGAGUUCAUAUCUAAGGUUAGGACAAGACGAACACACACCUGAGUGACUGAGCUAAGCUAAGGGUGUAACGAUGGCUAUCUUGGUUAGUUGAGGUAAUAUUUUCGAAUAUUGUUUCAAUUAGCGGGGUAGUCCAACGCGUUUUUCGUUACACUGGCGCACCAACGCACUUGUCUUAUCCGAAGAAUCGAGCUGUGAGUGUGUGGUUUGGUAGCAGACAACAAGCAUUAAUAAAUACUAUUUUCUUAUAUUUCAUUUUUAUAUUCAAUUUUUGCAGUAAAUCUAUAUAUAUUAUCUAUUUUGGUACUUUUUGACUAAUUUUUAUAUAUUUUCACAUGUUAUGGGUCAAAAAGUAUUACCAGUUUCAAUAAUUUAAUUAUAUAUUUCAGCAUAAUUGAUUUAAAAUACAUUUACAGUUGCAAAUAUUGGUAUUUUUAACAUUUUGAUACUUUUUCCCUACUUUUUUUGGCUAAUUUUUAUGUUAGGACCUUGAUAGUAAUGUCCACAUGGCAUUUUUCCUGUUUUUUUUCAAUUCAACCAGUUUUUUUUGGUAGUUCUUCUUUAAUUACUUUCUUAUUUUAUUGUAACUUUCCAAAACCCAAGAGAAUUUUUCCAUUUAUUGUCAUAUUUUCUGUCCUUUUUAUACGUACUAUUUCUUCUACGUUCUUUUUACACAUACUACUGUGUACUCUAAAGUGCAUUUAAAUCUUGUUUUAUUACUUAUUUUCAAUUACUUUUUACUUAUUCUUAUAUUUCCUAGUUGUUUUCAUAUAUUUAUUACCAAUUUUGUACAACUACCAAAAAUUUUGUUGUUUCCGUCGAACUUUCUGUUCGGAUGGUAUAUACUACUUUACUUGUAUAGUAAAGACUAGGACAAUUUUCAAGUUCUUUUCUUUCAUUGAGGUAUUUUAUUCUUAUUCUUCUUCUUUACGUAUUCAGAAUAUUAAUUUAAAUCAUUCUUCUUCUUCUUGUGUUGAAUCUCAAAAAAUUUUUUGUUCGUAAAGCAUGAUAUUUUACAUUUUUCAAUUUUUUGCAUUAUUGCACUUAUAUUAAUUAUGAUAAACAUUAUAUUUAACAUCUUUUUUAUUUAACAAUGCCCUAUUUAUCUAUAUAUUAUUGUUUUAUUAUUUUAUUUUGGGUGUUGUACUGAUUUUUGAUACAGAUUAGCAUGAAAGCCUCAUCCGGCACUUAUAAGUUGUGUAUGGCUUAUAUAUAUAGCUGCAUAGACACCUAGUGUUUUUUUUUCCUAGGGUACAUAUAAGUUAUCCAUAGGGUUGGGCCAGAUCUAUUGAGUCUGAGUUCCGUUUUUUUGGUCUUAAUGACUGUUGAUAUACAGUUUAAUGCUGUAUAUUAUUUUUAGGAUGAUGUCUUUUAUAAAUUUUUUCUUUUGGAGUUCAAACAAUUCUAUGCAUAUCUACUUUUAGAAAUCUGGUGUAGAAUUGUGGCGCUUUGAAGUAUGAUUGUAGUUUAGCUACUAGCAUUUGUUAUUUUCCAUCUUUGCAAAUCAUAUUUAUGCAUUUUUAUACAUAUAUUUUGUUCUUUAGUGUAGAUCCCUGGUAUGCAUUUGAUGGAAGUAGCAUUUGCAUUAUGUAUCAUUAUCUCUCUCUCUUUAUUAACUUAUUGGUUAAGUCUUUUAGGACUGGUUUUAUGCAGUUUUUUCAAACCCUUUGGUGUAGAACUUUGUCUUAUUUGGCUUUCCAUAUAGUUAGUACUUAUUUUUUUUUAAUAGUUUAUCUAUAGUUGCACUUGCAUUUCUUUUCAUUAUUAUACUUAUGUUAUCUUUAUCUACUUAUAUGCUUUUACUCACCUUAUCAUAUUGAUUAUUAUAUUAUUACCUUACUUUAGGUACUUGUUAUCCGAGUACUUGUUAUUUUGUUCGAGAUUCAGUUGUUGUUAGUAGCUCCAAUAGCUAUUUAUUUAUUUUAUAUAGGAUGUGAUAUCCCUUAUAUUUACUUAAAUUUGGUUAUUAUAUGUCUUUUAUUUUAUAUAAAUGCCAGAAUAUUUGCAAUGCAAUUCAUUUUUUAUGUCUACAUUAUUUGACUGUGAAUACUUACUUACUUUUGGAUUAUUAGUUAAAUUUGAUUAUUACUUACACUUUAUACGAUAAGUCUUUAUAAUUUUGAAUUAAUUUCAUACUUUUUUAAAGUACAUUUAUUUUUUUUACCCAGAGAUAGAUAUUCUCUGAUGUCAUUUAUUUAUAAUAAAUAUUUUAUAGUGUGAUGAAUGCUACAAUUCAUUGGGUAAUAUUUUUAUUUUCCCCAGAGUAACAUCUGAAAAUUAUUUUGGUACUUUAAAAUUUUUUAUGAUUAAUAAUUUAAAUUAACUAUAUACAUUGACUUAAUAAUUACUUUAUUAUGAGUAUUUAUUUUUGAUUUGUUUUGAACGAUUACUACUGCAUAGGUAUAUUUAUUUCUGGUUAGAACUUUGAUUUCUUGUUUUCCUUGAGAAAAAUUUCUCACCUGUGUUCGAAAUUUUUCUGAUGAGUGGAGGGAGUGUGUAACAUUCCUGUUUUCUGUGAGAAAAAUUUCUCACGUGUGUUCAAAAUUUUUCUGAUGGGUGAGAGGAGUGUGUAACGUUACAAACGUCACAUCUUUGAUAUUUUGUUUUUAAAUAAUUAUUUUACCUUAUUUUCUUUAAUAUUUCAUUAAUAAUUAUCUUCUUCUAUUUGGUUUACCCAUUUCCCCCUUUAAAAAUUGGUUGGCGCUCUUUUAUUAUCCUCUUUGAUUAUCAUUUUAUUAUCCUUUUUUAUUAUCUUCUAUUUAAUAUAUCUCUUUCAUUUAAAUCAUCAUACUGAACAUACCUCGUAUAUUCAUACUCUCCAAAUAUCUGCAUUUUCAAUACGGAACAUGCCGCUACUUCAUAGUACUUGGUUGUCAUUUUAAACGUCGUUUUCAAUGACAGUGUCACUUCAUCGACUUGACCCCCUACUCCCUGACAUACACUGGAAGGGAAAAAUUAAUCCUUAAAAAGGCAUGUAAUUCGAAAAAUAAAUCAUUUCUAUUUCAACAAAUCAUCUUCCUCUUGGGGUGAGCUACAAAUAGUUUUUUAUAAUAAUUUCUUACAGUAAUUAUAUUUCUCCAUCUAACAGUUUUUAUAUUGUUUUUUUAUCUAACCUAACUUCCAAUGUCAGACCAUGUGUUCUGAUAUUUUAGUUUCAAAUAUAAUUAUCUUUUAAUUUACAUGUAUGCACGUUUAGUAAUCAGAAUUUUAACUAUUCUCAUCUAAAUUUCAUUUGAUUUAUUCUUGUCAUCUGCUACUCUUUCUGACGAUUAGAACGGCAGAUGGCACACGUUGGUUUUUCUUCUUGAUGAUUGAUAUGUGUCUCUAUUUUAUAGUUUUUUGGAAAGAAACCACUUUUCUUCCUCCGGGAGUUUCAACAACCCUCAAAUCGCCGGCGAUACAACAACGAGGACCAUGUCAUCAGGGCUGCAACCACAUAACCAAGACUGCAACGACCAACAUCCGUAGGCCUGGUGGAAUACAACACCUACAACCCCAGAGCCCGUUGCAGAACCAGCAGCAGUACCAUACGACAUCAAGAAGAUACCAUCAGCUACCAAAAGCCAUAAGUAUAAUCCAGAAUUGUUAGUUUUUGGCAAGAAUUUAAAUACAUUUGUUAAUGCAAUUUA